GAAAUGCGAUAAGUAGUGUGAAUUGCAGAAUUCAGUGAAUCAUCGAAUCUUUGAACGCACAUUGCGCCCUUUGAUAUUCCAAAGGGCAUGCCUGUUCGAGCGUCAUUUGUACCCUCAAGCUUUGCUUGGUGUUGGGCGUCUUGUCUCUAGCUUUGCUGGAGACUCGCCUUAAAGUAAUUGGCAGCCGGCCUACUGGUUUCGGAGCGCAGCACAAGUCGCACUCUCUAUCAGCAAAGGUCUAGCAUCCAUUAAGCCUUUUUUCAACUUUUGACCUCGGAUCAGGUAGGGAUACCCGCUGAACUUAAGC
This 307-nucleotide unclassified non-coding RNA is filed under the name plant metagenome. RNAcentral describes it as "partial contains 5.8S ribosomal RNA, internal transcribed spacer 2, and large subunit ribosomal RNA". The stretch from base 1 to 105 matches the Rfam family "5.8S ribosomal RNA", at positions 50 to 154 of the family's 154-position model. The record is from RNAcentral.